This 2069-nucleotide ribosomal RNA is filed under the name Oxymonas sp. RoeOxA. RNAcentral describes it as "partial small subunit ribosomal RNA". It matches the Rfam family "Eukaryotic small subunit ribosomal RNA". Lineage: Eukaryota; Preaxostyla; Oxymonadida; Oxymonadidae. The record is from RNAcentral.
UCAAAGAUUAAGCCAUGCAUGUCUCAGUAUAAGCAACUUGUACGUGUGAAACUGCGAAUGGCUCAUUAAACCAGUUAUAAUUUAUUUGAUAGUGAAUUUACUAGAUGGAUAGCCGUAGUAAUUCUAGAGCUAAUACAUGCACAUAAGACCCGACUCGCGAGGGAAGGGUUGUGUUUAUUAGAUUGAAAACCAAUGUGGGUGUAGGGGGGAGAGGAGAAAUCCCCUUCCCCCUACACCACGUUAAAAGGGUGAGUCAUGAUAAAUGUCGAAUCGAAGUUUACCCUUCGAUGUGUCAUUCAAAUUUCUGCCCUAUCAACUUUGUUGGUAGGAUAGAGGCCUACCAUGGUAUUGACGGGUAACGGAGGAUUAGGGUUCGAUUCCGGAGAGGGAGCCUGAGAAAUGGCUACUACUUCUAAGGAAGGCAGCAGGCGCGCAAAUUACCCAAUCCCAACUGUGUUGGGGAGGUAGUGACAAAAAAUACGAAUGCCAGGUCGUUUAACGGCUCGGUAAUUGGAAUGGUAUGGAAGUAAACUGUCCAUAGAGCAGCCAUUAGAGGGCAAGUCUGGUGCCAGCAGCCGCGGUAAUUCCAGCUCUAAUAGUGUAUACUAAAUUUGCUGCAGUUAAAAAGCUCGUAGUUGGAUUUAGGGUGGGGCAGUAUACGUCCGUGCGCUUGCAGUAAUAAGCGACUUGUCUGUUCUCUGUUACUUAAAGGGGGCAGCUUGGUUGACAUGCUGGUUGAGUGUAUGGAGGUUGCUCCGCCCGACGAAAUAAAGACGAGUAACUCUGCAUGGCCCUUAACUGUGGCUUGUGCGGUUGUUCUCGGAGGGUUUACUUUGAAGAAAUUGUAGUGUUCAAAGCAGGCGUUUCGCAGCUGAACACAUUAGCAUGGAAUAAUAAAAUAGGACAUCCGAGUCCCUGACCUCUUUUUUUUUGUUUGUGGGUUAGGAAGAGUGUGGUUGUUGAAGGUUUUUAGGAGAAGUCUUUCUCUUAUCCUUCUCAGCCUCCACUCUCUUUCUCUUUCUCACGCAAAAAAAAAAUUUCAUGGGGGAAGGGACUAUUCUUAAGAAUAUCCUUGUUUUGUUGGUUUUUGGAGAGGGUGUAAUGAUUAAUAGGGACGGUUGGGGGCAUCCGUAUUGCAUAGUCAGAGGUGAAAUUCUUGGAUUUAUGCAAGACGAACUAGUGCGAAAGCAUUUGCCAAGGAUGUUUUCAUUAAUCAAGAACGAAAGUUAGGGGAUCGAAGGCGAUCAGAAACCGCCGUAGUCUUAACUAUAAACUAUACCAACUAGGGAUUGGAGAGAGUUUAAAAUACAGCCUCGUCAGCACCUUUAGAGAAAUCACAAGUCUCUGGGUUCUGGGGGGAGUAUGGUCGCAAGGCUGAAACUUAAAGAAAUUGACGGAAGGGCACCACCAGGUGUGGAGCCUGCGGCUUAAUUCGACUCAACACGGGGAAACUCACCAGGUCCAGACACGGGAAGGAUUGACAGAUUGAUAGCUCUUUCUUGAUUCUGUGGGUGGUGGUGCAUGGUCGUUCUUAGUUGGUGGAGUGAUUUGUCUGGUUAAUUCCGAUAACGAACGAGACCUUAACCUGCUAACUAGCUCGGCGUCGCUUUUUUGAAAAAGAGGAGCGAUGUGUAAAUUAUGAAGAGGGGGAAGGGAAAAGUUCUGCUUUUUUCUUUGUUUUUUUCAUAAAGUGGGGAGCUUCUUAGAGGGACUACCAUGGUUGCACAUGGUGGAAGCUUGAGGCAAUAACAGGUCUGUGAUGCCCUUAGAUGUCCUGGGCCGCACGCGCGCUACAAUGAUGCGUUCAGCGAGUCUGUGCUUGCUCGAAAGAGCUGGCUAAUCUUGCGAGCGCGCAUCGUGCCUGGGGAUUGAUCUUUGUAAUUUUGGAUCAUGAACUAGGAAUACCUAGUAAGCGCAACUCAUCAGGUUGCGCUGAUUACGUCCCUGCCCUUUGUACACACCGCCCGUCGCUCCUACCGAUUGGAUGAUCAGAUGAAAUGCCCGGAUGCGCGGCGCACUGCGUUUUAGUGGUGUGCCGUGGAGAAGAGUAGUGAAUCUUAUUAUCUAGA